RNAcentral lists this ribosomal RNA (1346 nucleotides) under uncultured bacterium. RNAcentral describes it as "bacterial SSU rRNA". It matches the Rfam family "Bacterial small subunit ribosomal RNA", at positions 28 to 1381 of the family's 1533-position model. The record is from RNAcentral.
GACGAACGUUGGCGGCGUGCUUAACACAUGCAAGUCGAACGGAAAGGCCCUGCUUUUGUGGGGUGCUCGAGUGGCGAACGGGUGAGUAACACGUGAGUAACCUGCCCUUGACUUUGGGAUAACUUCAGGAAACUGGGGCUAAUACCGGAUAGGAGCUCCUGCUGCAUGGUGGGGGUUGGAAAGUUUCGGCGGUUGGGGAUGGACUCGCGGCUUAUCAGCUUGUUGGUGGGGUAGUGGCUUACCAAGGCUUUGACGGGUAGCCGGCCUGAGAGGGUGACCGGCCACAUUGGGACUGAGAUACGGCCCAGACUCCUACGGGAGGCAGCAGUGGGGAAUAUUGCACAAUGGGCGGAAGCCUGAUGCAGCAACGCCGCGUGCGGGAUGACGGCCUUCGGGUUGUAAACCGCUUUCGCCUGUGACGAAGCGUGAGUGACGGUAAUGGGUAAAGAAGCACCGGCUAACUACGUGCCAGCAGCCGCGGUGAUACGUAGGGUGCGAGCGUUGUCCGGAUUUAUUGGGCGUAAAGGGCUCGUAGGUGGUUGAUCGCGUCGGAAGUGUAAUCUUGGGGCUUAACCCUGAGCGUGCUUUCGAUACGGGUUGACUUGAGGAAGGUAGGGGAGAAUGGAAUUCCUGGUGGAGCGGUGGAAUGCGCAGAUAUCAGGAGGAACACCAGUGGCGAAGGCGGUUCUCUGGGCCUUUCCUGACGCUGAGGAGCGAAAGCGUGGGGAGCGAACAGGCUUAGAUACCCUGGUAGUCCACGCUGUAAACGGUGGGUACUAGGUGUGGGGUCCAUUCCACGGGUUCCGUGCCGUAGCUAACGCUUUAAGUACCCCGCCUGGGGAGUACGGCCGCAAGGCUAAAACUCAAAGGAAUUGACGGGGCCCCGCACAAGCGGCGGAGCAUGCGGAUUAAUUCGAUGCAACGCGUAGAACCUUACCUGGGUUUGACAUGGAUCGGGAGUGCCCAGAGAUGGGUGUGCCUCUUUUGGGGUCGGUUCACAGGUGGUGCAUGCCUGUCGUCAGCUCGUGUCGUGAGAUGUUGGGUUAAGUCCCGCAACGAGCGCAACCCUUGUUCACUGUUGCCAGCACGUUAUGGUGGGGACUCAGUGGAGACCGCCGGGGUCAACUCGGAGGAAGGUGGGGAUGACGUCAAGUCCUCAUGCCCCUUAUGUCCAGCGCUUCACGCAUGCUACAAUGGCUGGUACAGAGAGUGGCGAGCCUGUGAGGGUGAGCGAAUCUCGGAAAGCCGGUCUCAGUUCGGAUUGGGGUCUGCAACUCGACCUCAUGAAGUCGGAGUCGCUAGUAAUCGCAAAUCAGCAACGCUGCGGUGAAUACGUUCCCGGGGCU